This 30-nucleotide non-coding RNA is filed under the name Rattus norvegicus (Norway rat). Lineage: Eukaryota; Metazoa; Chordata; Mammalia; Rodentia; Muridae. The record is from RNAcentral.
UGACAUCAUUUCUUAAUCCAGUCUCUCAGC